Acanthopagrus latus (yellowfin seabream) is the source of this 4337-nucleotide long non-coding RNA. RefSeq lists it as uncharacterized. The record is from RefSeq and is a predicted model, not a curated record. Lineage: Eukaryota; Metazoa; Chordata; Actinopteri; Spariformes; Sparidae. The transcript has 4 exons.
GCAGUGCGUCCUCCAAAACAAAGAGGGAAGAGAAGGAGCAUUUGAAGGAGCCUUCCUGAAACGUUGUGUCAUAAUCGGCCUUCAAACGCGUCCUUUAAAGGAUUCAGCUCCUUCAGCUAAUGACUGUCCACCAAACUUCUGUACUUAGAGACGAAGAAAAUGAAGCGUGGUACAAAAGCUUUUGCAACCAACACUGAAGAUGCAUCUUCUGUUGUUUCUCAAAUCUGAGGGUAAUAAAUGUUAUCUGAUAAUACGAGAGGAAAUCGUUCUAAUAGAAAAGUUUUUAAAAAAUUGAUUCAAGAGAGAAGUAGUGAGGAAAGUAGACUCAGACACUAAAGGCUACAAACUACACAAACUUUUUACAUAUCACUCACUUCUUUCUCUCUCAAAACUUGGCGCUGACUUACUUCGAAAUUCAAGAUAUUAACAAGUCGGCGACCUUAAAGGGGCAUUAUGUUGUUUUGGAGAUGAAAUCUAUAAUGUUAAUGAGGUUAUGAGCACAAACUGUCUCCAUCAGUGAACAAACAAGCUGCUCUCAGAGGAAAAUAAGGUCUUCAGAACACUGUUCGGAGCUAGAACAGUGGCAGGGUCCGCCACAUAUGAACAGAGCACAACAACAUGAAGUUGUGUUUUCCUUUAAGGUCAGUUUGCUUGUUUAUUUAGUUUGUUUGGGCAGAAAAGUUGGUCAGUGGAGGGAGAAGGAAAGCCUGACGCUGGAGUAAAUUAGCGAGCUCACCCGGGUGUGUUUAAAUGGCAGCUGGAGGCGAUAAAUAACCGCGACUAUUGCAGAGUCCAGUUGACGCGCGACUAAAUGCUGAUUCACGUUACAGACAGAAAAAAGCCAAACGUCAGCUGGUGUUAGUGGAGGUUUUCUUUUGGCCGAGUGUCCACUUCUACUACAACCCCCCCCAAAAAAAUAAGUGUGAUGGUCUGAAGUUUUUUCAGCGCCUGGCGGUGGUUGAGACCGGUUCAAACCAUCCACUGCUUCGUCUGUCCAGAGCAAACAUCAACAUUGUGCUGCGGACGUCACCGACAAUAGAAACAAGCCUCUGGUAUCAGUUGUCACAUCACUCAUAUUUAAUAUAGGCCACCAUGGCACUGACUGGAUCACAUCCUGUCAGAUGACGCGACUGGACGCACCACACCCACUAUCUGCACCGUCCAUCGCUCUUUAACGUCUUUGUGUGUCUUGUUUAUCUCCAUUUGUCCCGGUUGUUGCUGGACAUUGUUGACUUUUCAUCUUUGGCAGCCUCUGCUUAUUGUUGGAUCAGUUUGACAGCUACACGCUCUGACAAGCGCCACUGUUUUGUCUCAUGCCAAUAAAGCUCUCUCUCUCUCUCUCUCUUUCUCUCUCGUCGGCGGGAGUUUGAAGCCGACAAACAAAGAGGGACGGAGAUCGCCGAGGUUUGGAGAGAUGACCCAGAAGCAACAGGACUUUCUGUCCAAAACUCUUAGUGAGCCGGGAGUCAUCAAAUCAAUGCUCAGUGUUUUUCAGACCUGCGCAGCGAGCCGCUGGAGGAUCUGAAGAAGUUCAAACGCUCCCCUGUGUCCGCCCACGGCGGCUGAGGAAGGUUUACUGCUGGUGUGGAGGUGACGAGCUGCUUCUGAUUAACCUGACUGACGUUAGCUUUUGAGUUACAACAGCUACUAAAAGGUCGCCAGCAACCAAUAAACGUGAAUACGGGUCAUAAAAAGCUUCUUGCAUGGACAUAUGGCUGUUUUUCUGAAGAAGAAGAAAGGGAAGAAUGGACUCGUGCUGAUCUUGAUCCUGAAGUCUGCUGGAUGUUUAAACUGGAAACUGUUUGCUGACACAUGGUGAUCGUGUGUGUCAGGGUUGUAUUUACAGGUUGUUCGAGUGAAAAUGUUCUUUACUAGAGUACAUCGCUGAUUAUUAAUAACCUGCUGCUCUUAAUGUUUGCGUUUCAUAUUUAAACAUUCAGCUGUUUUCCUGCUUUAAAGGCGACUCACAAAGACUUUCAGGGCUUCGUUAUCCCUGAUCCACUGAACAGGGAAAUAAUAAAGAGUCCAAAGGUCUCAGUCUGAGCAGGCUACGCUAAAUAAACCGCCGUCCGUCCUCUGUAGGUCCUUUAUCAACAGUGACUGAGCAAAGGCAAACACAGUUAUUAUUACAUUGAGAUGAAGAAGCUCCGGGUCCUGAGAGGCUCGAGCCUCGUCCGUCGCUCAAACGUCAAGUCGUAUGAUGUAAAAUCUCAGUAAUCAGUCCGAUGGAGGAGGAGGCCUGACGAGGAGUUAAACUAUCAGACUCAAACCUUUUAAUGACUCCAGAAUCGCCAAAACUAAUUUUCAUUAGGCACAUUUGAAAGGCUAAUUAGGUUUUUUCUUUUUUUGUUUUUAUUUUACUCCUACGCUGCAAAUUCGGAUGAAACUGGCCACAAAUCGAAUCUCGUCCUUGCAAAUUACAAUUGUUGGUUUACUGGAGGAUGUUAAAACUCAGACUGCAGUAUCUCAAACACCAGCUGUCCAGUGUUCACAUAUUUAGAAUUUUUAGCGAUGUAGAAAAACUCACCGACUGUCUGUGAUUAAAAUUUCUAAACUUGAAAAUCCAUUCAAGGAUGGAUUCCUCAUUGACUUCUGAAUGUUUUACUGCUUAAUAUUAGCAAUUGUUGUUGAGCAGUAGAGACUUUAUAAGAGAGGAGACAAACCACUGACAGCAGUUUCUAAUUGAAAGGUGAGAGAUCAGAGAUGGACGUAAGCUGGAAAUCCCAGCAGAUGAACCAGGGAACGUAUCAGCUAAUCUUGUUGUUGCACCGACACGAGAACAUGUUGAGUUGAGAUUCACAGCAGUUUAAACCCAUUUGGGCCAUUUUUUUUCAAGUGCUUAAGUUUGACUGAGCCAUAAAACAUGUUUGUCUCAUGAAACCAUUGUGUAUUCGUAGUAGAAAUGUAACCAAGUGGGGGAAAGUCGACAAACUUUCCCAGUGAUCGUUGAAGGUGAAGUCUUCUCUUUCACUGAGAUGGCAGCUUGGUGCCAGAACGACUAUCUGGGGGCUUCGCCAAGAUGGCUACCAAGUGGUAAGUCUUUUGUCUAAAAGGACUUUGUUGUGUAUUCAUCACCGACUACUCACUAACUUUUAGCCAAUUGCAGAUCUGCCGUAUCUGAUCCAACUUUGAGAUGCUGUCGAUCGGCCAAAUGUGUCAUUUGUGUUGAUUGAUGGAUCAUUUUUUGGAGAACUGAAGCAAAGAUGGACCAAAAAUCAUGAAAAACAAAGCGUUUAAAAUGCAGGAACGAUGCCCAGAUGGAUGAUUUGCCUGUUUGUCAACCAAACUUCAGUUUAUUUAUCAAAUAAUGACAAUAAAUUAACAAUCAGCCAUCUAUUAUUUAUUCAGUGUAUGACUAAACACCAAAUGAAAUCACGCUGACUUUGUGUGUGUCUGAAAACAUUUAAACUGGAAUUAGACAAUGUUAACAAAGUAAUGGGUUUAAUGUAUUGGUUCCCUAUCAGCCUCACUGUCCCUGUCCACAUUACAGCAUUACAUUGUCUUUCCCGAUCACCGUCCUCCGGAAACUCUACACUGCAAAAGACAGACGAGGAGGUGAUAGAAACCGAAGUAAAACAAGACUGAACGGACGAGCGUUCACUCGAUGAAGCGCUCCGGUGUUGUGUUGUCAAAGCACGUUCCCCGGCUGGUUCGUGUUUCGUCUCACCACCGUCGUUCUUUCAACUAAGAUCAGCGAGCGACAAAACCUGCGUACGUAUUAAUACACCAGUUUCGUAGCGCUGAGGUCGGGAUUUAGAGGUCAAAUCUGGAUCCUUGUUUCUUUUGCGGGCCAGGCUGCUAACGGUCGCCAUGGUAACACCAUCAGGAAACUUUGAAGUCGUCUGUUUCAUCAUAGUAACAAAGUUUGAAGUUUCAUUGCACACUGAGACAACUGAGGGCUCAUUUAUGCUUAACGUCGAAUACCGAUGGAGCCUUCAGUCCGCAGUCUGCUUUCAUUUCGUCCGUUUCUCUGCACAUUUUCCUCCGGUACCUCCGAUAGUCGGGGGAAAGAAAGGGGGGGAACUUCAUGAGGAGAGGUUUCUUUGUAUUGGUGAGAAAAUGUUACUUUCAGGCACAGAGACGAAGUCUGAAUGGUGACGAAGGACAAGUGGAGGUCUGUGAGCGACUGAUUUGACUCUGAGCGGCGCCCUCUAGUGGAUCUGGUGCCAACGUGAAGGACACGCAGAAGUUUGAAGGUCAUAUAUUGUUUUACACUCACAAGUGACCUCCUGCUAUUAAACAUUAACAUUAUUAAACGAUUACUUGAUUUGUCGUCAUCUACAGCUGUUUUCUUAUUUAUUCAGCUUGAGUCAUUUUUUUUAAUGAAUAAAAAUGUU